Molecule: ribosomal RNA, 382 nt
Filed under: uncultured bacterium
Lineage: Bacteria
Description: bacterial SSU rRNA
Rfam family: Bacterial small subunit ribosomal RNA
Source: RNAcentral
GGACGAACGCUGGCGGCGCGCCUAACACAUGCAAGUCGAGCGGGAAACUUUUUAAGGAUUCUUCGGAUGAAUUAAAAGUGGAGAGCGGCGGACGGGUGAGUAACGCGUGAGAAACCUGCCCUAUACAGGGGGAUAGCCAUUGGAAACGAUGAUUAAUACCCCAUAUGACCACAGUAUCGCAUGAUACAGCGGUGAAAACUCCGGUGGUAUAGGAUGGUCUCGCGUCUGAUUAGCUAGUUGGUGGGGUAACGGCCUACCAAGGCGACGAUCAGUAGCCGGCCUGAGAGGGUGACCGGCCACACUGGAACUGAGACACGGUCCAGACUCCUACGGGAGGCAGCAGUGGGGAAUUUCCAAUGGGCGAAGCCUGAGAGCACGCGUG